RNAcentral lists this ribosomal RNA (876 nucleotides) under uncultured euryarchaeote. Its description in RNAcentral is "bacterial SSU rRNA". It matches the Rfam family "Archaeal small subunit ribosomal RNA", at positions 21 to 904 of the family's 1478-position model. The record is from RNAcentral. Lineage: Archaea; Methanobacteriati; Methanobacteriota.
GGUCACUGCUAUUGGGAUUCGAUUAAGCCAUGCGAGUCGAGAGGGUUCGGCCCUCGGCUGACUGCUCAGUAACACGUGGAUAAUCUGCCCUUAGGUGGAGGAUAACCUUGGGAAACUGAGGAUAAUACUCCAUAGAUCUAGGAUGCUGGAAUGCGCUUAGAUUGAAAACCCUGGUGCCUAAGGAUGAGUCCGUGGACUAUCAGGUAGUAGUCAGGGUAACGACCUGACUAGCCUACGACGGAUACGGGUUGUGAGAGCAAUUGCCCGGAGAUGAUGUCUGAGACACGAUAUCAGGUCCUACGGGACGCAGCAGGCGCGAAAACUUCACAAUGUGCGAAAGCACGAUGAGGGAAUCCCAAGUGCCGAUUCGAAAGAGUCGGCUGUUUCUCUGUCUAAAAAACAGUGAGAGUAAGAGCUGGGUAAGACGGGUGCCAGCCGCCGCGGUAAUACCUGCAGCUCAAGUGGUGAUCGCUAUAUUGGGCCUAAAACGUCCGUAGCCGGUUUAGUAAAUGCCUGGGUAAAUCGUCUGGCUUAACCAGACGAAUUCCGGGUAGACUGCUAAACUUGAGACCGGAAGAAGCUAGAAGUACUCCCGGGGUAGAGGUGAAAUUCUGUAAUCCUAGGGGGACUACCAGUGGCGAAGGCGUCUAGCUAGAACGGGUCUGACGGUGAGGGACGAAACCCUGGGGCGCAAACCGGAUUAGAUACCCGGGUAGUCCAGGGCGUAAACGCUGCUCGCUUGAUGUUAGGUGGGCUACGAGCCCAACUAGUGUCGGAGAGAAGUUGUUAAGCGAGCUGCCUGGGAAGUACGUUCGCAAGGAUGAAACUUAAAGGAAUUGGCGGGGGAGCACAGCAACGGGUGGAGCGUGCGGUUUA